Molecule: ribosomal RNA, 301 nt
Filed under: Cornuvesica falcata
Lineage: Eukaryota; Fungi; Ascomycota; Sordariomycetes; Ophiostomatales; Ophiostomataceae
Description: bacterial SSU rRNA
Rfam family: Eukaryotic small subunit ribosomal RNA
Source: RNAcentral
GCGCACGCGCGCUACACUGACCAAGCCAGCGAGUUACCUUGGCUGAGAAGCCUGGGGAAUCUUGGGAAACUUGGUCGUGCUGGGGAUAGAGCAUUGCAAUUGUUGCUCUUCAACGAGGAAUUCCUAGUAAGCGCAAGUCAUCAGCUUGCGUUGAUUACGUCCCUGCCCUUUGUACACACCGCCCGUCGCUACUACCGAUUGAAUGGCUCAGUGAGGCCAUCGGACUGGCCUUUUUAGCGGGCAACUGCUGAGAAGGCCGGAAAGUUGUCCAAACUCGGUCAUUUAGAGGAAGUAAAAGUCG